UCCAUGCCAUUGCACAACUUGGAGUUGUCAGGCAAAGUAGCUGCAUGCCCUUAACCAAUAAUGUAGCAGUCACUGUUGUAAACGUGAAAUGUACCACUUUAAUAGCAACUUGGUUGGUUCCAUGAUAUGAUCGCAGGGGGCUUUGUUCAGUGAAGUCAUCUGCUUUCUAGACAACAAAGCAGGUCCCCAAAAAUUAUGAAUGGCUAUAUUUUCAAACUAGUAUCUGAUUUGCUCCUUUGUUGUGUAUUCCCAUGUUAGCACUGCCGAGAUGACACUGCCGGGAAAGCACUGCCGAGAAUUGGGAGAUGUGCGGAGAUCUAGUGUGCUAAUGCAAUGGAAAGAUUGGACCAGAGCGACUAUAGCAACAGUACCUUCUUCAGGUAACAGUUCACGGACGACGACGACGAGCUCGUUCAGGAGAGGACAGUGAGCAUGUUCAGGGGAGGACGACGAUCUUGUCCAGGGAGCAGAGGAGCUCGCCCUCGCAGCAGCCGACAGCGCAGUGGCGCAGGGAAGAGGUC
This is a long non-coding RNA of Lolium rigidum, 521 nucleotides long. RefSeq lists it as uncharacterized. Lineage: Eukaryota; Viridiplantae; Streptophyta; Magnoliopsida; Poales; Poaceae. The record is from RefSeq and is a predicted model, not a curated record. The transcript has 3 exons.